This 466-nucleotide ribosomal RNA is filed under the name Clavispora lusitaniae. RNAcentral describes it as "eukaryotic LSU rRNA". It matches the Rfam family "Eukaryotic large subunit ribosomal RNA", at positions 132 to 656 of the family's 3401-position model. Lineage: Eukaryota; Fungi; Ascomycota; Pichiomycetes; Serinales; Metschnikowiaceae. The record is from RNAcentral.
UCCUGCGGGAAUUGUAAUUUGAAGGUUUCGUGGUCUGAGUCGGCCGCGCCCAAGUCCAUUGGAACAUGGCGCCUGGGAGGGUGAGAGCCCCGUMYGGCGCACGCCGACUCUUUGCACCGCGGCUCCGACGAGUCGAGUUGUUUGGGAAUGCAGCUCUAAGUGGGUGGUAAAUUCCAUCUAAAGCUAAAUAUUGGCGAGAGACCGAUAGCGAACAAGUACAGUGAUGGAAAGAUGAAAAGCACUUUGAAAAGAGAGUGAAACAGCACGUGAAAUUGUUGAAAGGGAAGGGCUUGCAAGCAGACACGGUUUUACCGGGCCAGCGUCGAAAAGGGGGGAGGAACAAGAACUCGAGAAUGUGGCGCGCACCUUCGGGYGCGCGUGUUAUAGCUCGUGUUGACGCCUCCAUCCYUUUUCGAGGCCUGCGAUUCUAGGACGCUGGCGUAAUGGUUGCAAGCCGCCCGUCUUG